Molecule: small nuclear RNA, 185 nt
Organism: Otolemur garnettii (small-eared galago)
Lineage: Eukaryota; Metazoa; Chordata; Mammalia; Primates; Galagidae
Gene: U2
Rfam family: U2 spliceosomal RNA
About the family: U2 is a small nuclear RNA (snRNA) component of the spliceosome (involved in pre-mRNA splicing).
Source: Ensembl
AUCACUUUUGGCCUUUUGGCUAAGAUCGUGUGUGGGUUCUUAUCAGCUUAAUUUCAGAUAUACCCUCUAGCUGAGGACGAUAUAGUAAAUGAAUUUGGGGAGCAGGAAGAUGGAAGAGGAACUUGCUCUGUCCACUCCACACAUCAACCUAGUAUUGCAGUACCUCUAGUAAUGGUGCCCUACUC